CUCUGUUUCGUAAUGAAUCAGGGCGGAAGGAG
RNAcentral lists this non-coding RNA (32 nucleotides) under unclassified sequences. RNAcentral describes it as "L31-Firmicutes ribosomal protein leader". It matches the Rfam family "L31-Firmicutes ribosomal protein leader". The record is from RNAcentral.